RNAcentral lists this long non-coding RNA (534 nucleotides) under Mustela putorius furo (domestic ferret). RNAcentral describes it as "lncRNA (ENSMPUG00000031357.1)". Lineage: Eukaryota; Metazoa; Chordata; Mammalia; Carnivora; Mustelidae. The record is from RNAcentral.
UUAUGACUUCUGCUGAAGUGUUUUCUUUAUUUCUUUUUUUUACUUUUUUAAAUAUUUAAUUUAUUUAUUUGACAGAGAGAGAGUGCACACAAGCAGACAGAACAGCAGGCAGAGGGAGACGGAGAAGCAGGCUCUUCUCUGAGCCUAAUGUGGAGCUGGAUCUCAGGACCCUGAGAUCAUGACCUGAGCUGAAGGCAGACACGUAACUGAAUGAGCCAUCCAGACACCCCUGUUGGUGCUUUUCUUGUAAAAGUUGUAGAAUGCAGAAUUCCACUUUUUUUUUCAACUUUGAACCUGAUCAAAGACUUUUUUCAACUUUUCAACGUUGAAACUGAUCGAAGACAAGUAAUUAAGGGCUGGAAGGGAUUGCUGGCUAUUCCUGACAAGUGGUGACCCCGCUGUGAUCAUCUUGCCACAGACCACUGAAUGGACCACCUGAAAAUGAAAAGUUUGGGCACAGUAAGUUGGCAUCUGCUCAUGGCCAAUUCUGGGGAAGUUUCAGGCUUGGGUAUUUUUACAGAAUUAAAAGGUCUC